Molecule: long non-coding RNA, 3053 nt
Organism: Photinus pyralis (common eastern firefly)
Lineage: Eukaryota; Metazoa; Arthropoda; Insecta; Coleoptera; Lampyridae
Exons: 2
Source: RefSeq, a predicted model, not a curated record
GCGAAAAUUCGUGCAUCCGCAAUCCGAUUUCAAUAAGUGUGUAUGUGGAUAUAUAGACAGGUGGCUGCUUAUAUACAUCAGGUAAGCCCUUUUUCAAUUUUUGGUUGCUUAUAAUUUACUUUUCUUAGGGAUACGUGUCCAUGCGCGCAUAAUUUGCAGUUUAAUGAAAAGCGUGACAUUUUAUUGUAUUUAUUCAGCGAUUAUUUUAUAUGGGCGUUUAUAAGUAAUAAGCUGACAGCAGAAAACAUAGUCUACAUCAGAGUUGGACCCCGAUAUCAAACCUCAAUGGAGGAUUGCCUUCAUCAUCAUCAUGGUUAAACGGUCGCAAGCGCCGUAGCUUUAUUAUUAUAAUACCUAUAUAAUAUCUUAGAUUUAUUGAUGGGAAGUAGGUAGAGGAUAAUGCCGUUGCGAUAAAUAAGAUAACAUUGUGAAUAUUAUGUAUUACACCAACUUUAGCUAUAUCUAUAUUAAGAAAAGGCUUAUCAUAUAACCUUCAUAUCAAUUACAGCUAUUAAGAAAAGUUUCGUAUGGGGCUAAAUCAAUAUUUUUCUUGAAUCAAAGUUUAUGUGCCGAUAAUACCUGUGAUAAGGCAAGCUUCUUAAAUCAAAUUGAUACACUUGGGGCAGCACCUUCAUAAUACGUGUAAGCAUACGAUUUAAAACAGAUGUGUUAUUAAUUCCUGCAAUCAAAGUGCUAGGAUAUAAAUUUUUAUUACUCUAGUUAGAAUAGUGCUGUUAUAUAAACUCUCACAAAUUUUGUUAAUUUUUCUUGGAUUUAAGUUUAUAUGGUGAUAAUACCCGUGCUAAGGCAGGCUUCUUAAUCCCGAACAGGAUAGAGAUGGACGUUGGGUGGGAGGAGGUGCCUCAAGACUUGUUUACGGGAGAAAGGAAGCUAACUUUAUGUACUGUUAAUAUCUAUGAUACGACACGCUUCUUAAAUCAAAUUGAUACACUUUGAGCAGUACCUUCAUAAUACGUGUAAGCGUACGAUUUAAAACAGAUGUGUUAUUAAUUCUAGCAAUCAAAGUUAUAGGAUAUAAAUUUUUUAUAGCUCGAGUUAAUGUAAUGCUAUAGAUUUCGCUGCUGUUUAAAGUUUAACAAGUUUUCGCAAUUUUUCUUGGGAACUAAGUUUAUGUGCUGAUAAUAUCUGUGAUAAGGCAAGCUUCUUAAUUCCAAACUAGGAUAGAGAUGCUUCUGGCGCCUUAAGACUUUUUACGAGAGAAAGGAUAACACCGUAUAGCAUUAUGGAUAAAUACCUAACCACUGCAUCUUAUUAUUUUAGGUAAGAGCUUAGAACACGGAUACAAUCAUAAUCUAUGCAGUGGGGCGGAUAAGAAAAACAGAACAAAAUUUAACAGGUUUAUUAAUUCUGGAAAAAAAAUAUUCAUUGAAGUAUACAUUAUAAUUGAAAUGAUAACACUUACAUAGAACACCCAAUAGGUGUGUUUGAGUUCCAGGUCUUUAAAGACCUGGAACCUCGUUCCCUGGAAGUCAUCUUCCUCAAUCUUUACGGAGCCGGGGAUUGUUCCCCGACCCCGUAAAAUCGCAACAUGUUCCUAAAUAAGAGCUAAUUAAAAUACGGUAUGAUGCAUGAAAAGUACUUACAGAUCCAUAUUUUUCUAUUAGAUGUGUUCGGAGUUCUCGUUCUACAAAUAUAUGGUUAAACGUGUGAUAGAUAUGCGGUGUAUUUACCAUAGGCCGUUUGCACGCCUCCGAAGACGAUGGCCGCACCUUGAGCUGAAAAAUUACAUACAUUAAGUUUGAUGAAAAAUAGAAAAGAGCUCAUUCUUACCCGCCAUCCUCGUAACAAAUGCCUAUCAAACGAUUUCUAGGAGGAGUUUUAUUUAUUGCUAUCCAUUUAGACAGGAAACCUGCACAGAUUGCAUAGCUAUGUGACAAACGAGGUCAUAGGAAGCUUGAUACAAAGGGGGUAUGCAGAUAAACAUUCAAUAAAAAUUUAUAUCCUUCACUCAUCAUAUUCAAUAUCGCCAUACCUGAUAUUAUAUAGGUAAAACAGUUGGUACAGGCCGGUGAUAGAUUUAUAUUAUUAUCGAUCAAAGCACCCUAUUAGUUUUGAAAAUGCGUACGUAUGCUCGUAGGUAGUGUAUUAUUGUAGAAGGAGGUCUACUUUGAAGGUGAUGCGAUAAACUUGAAUACAUACUUUUCGUUUCAUUGACCAAUUCCAUAUACCUUUUGAGUAUUACCUCAACCUAUUCAAAAGCCGGCUGUUUCACUACAUCGACUAUCGUUAUGCCCUAGAGAUGAGUAGAUUUUAAAUUUUGCUAUAACUAAAGUUUAACGAUACCUAUAUUCUAUUAUUUACUCACGAGCUGCCGCCAUUGAUAAUUUCGUAAAGCGUAGCUGAUGAAAUAAUUAGCUUAAGAUUACGACCCAAGGACACCUAUAUAGUUGCAUUGUUUUAAUAGGAAAAGCAUAAAUUCUUUCUAGAAAUUUUGCGGGACAUGAUAGUUAGACUCGAGGAUAUAUAGGUGCAAGACUAACAGGAAACCGUUAGAACUUGUAGGCGUUUAAGCCAAAGGUGUCAUAUUGAUAACAAUAGAACCGAAGAAGCGCGUUAUCUAUAAAAUUGCAUUGGAUGAUGUGACCGCUUUAUACUGAAUAAUACUAUAAUUUUGAUUUUACAUAAUCAGGUAUUUGUGUAAAAGCGCUCCGGAUUUGCCGAAAGAGCUUGCAAUUUAUAAUGGAAAGCAGGUGGCUUAGGUACAACGGCAAGCUACCUGGUUAAUUCAUAACCAUCACGGAAUUAAAUGGGAGCAUGGUCAUACGCCAUCCUACAUGUUUCCAACUAUACUUCGCCAGUUAAUAUCAUCAUCAGACCAAGUAUACGUUCAAGGAAAAGAAAAAGUCGAUUUCAUUCGAAAAACUCUAUCGCAAAAUGUCGCCGAGGUGGAAGAAGAACCAGCUUUACCUAAAUUAGAAGCAUGUUGCUACUAUCAUGUACGCUCACUUUGCUGUUGCGCUUUAUCUAACGUUUAUUAUAUUUAUAAUACUCAUGUAAUUCAGUAAUUUUCCAAAUAAAACAACCAAAUUCAA